CCUCACUGAAUUCUCUCACCCACCCUGAAGGGUAGGCUUUUUACAGAUGAGGACACUGCGACACAAACAAGGCCACAGGUAAGUGUGUGAAGAGCCAGGACUUGAAGUGAACCACCCUGUUCUGAGCCUCCGCCUGAACACAGUCCUGCAGGACAUGUGUCAUCUUCCCUCCAGAGUUGGCUUUCCCAGUGUCCGUGAGCACGAGCCCUACCUGUUACUCUACCCUCAACUCCGUUCCUAAACUGCCUUGCCUUUGGGACUUUCCACAUCUUGUUCCUCCACUGGCUUUUUUUUUUUUUUUUCUGGUCAUUUCUAUCCCAAGUGUUCAGCUCCAAGGCACCUUGUCCAGGAAGUCCUGCACUGAGCUUUACAUAUAAGAAAGUCUUAGUUUUUGUUGUUGAACUGAGUAAACCCACAGCAAUGAGCUGGCACCUCAAUUCCAAACAGGUGUCUCUAUUGCCAGGUCCACAGGACUCGGGUUGGGGGCAGGUCUGCAGCCUAAGGUCCCUUAAGAUCUGAAGAUCAGACAGAAAAUGACUUUUCUUCCUACCUCCUAUCCAGCCUCACACCAAUCUCCUAGUUCUGUGAUUGGGAAACUGAGGCCCAGUGGGCAGAGACUUUCCUAAGGUCAAGCUCAAAACUGCCCCCAGACUCGUGGUCCACUGCUCUCUGUCCUCCUUGCCCAGUUGGCUUCUGUCAGACCCAGGAGGAUGACAGCCCUUCCAUUCAUUUACUCAACAAAUAUUUACCAAGUGCUGGACAAUGCCAAACUCUGGGGCUACAGUAGGGAACAAAACAGAGCUUGUCCUUGACUUCAGGGAGUUCACAGCUUAGACCAUGAGGAACAGUUAUUGGGGUCUUAGGGUCAUUGAAGGAACUUUUGAAGACCUAUGGGAAGCUAUCAGUGGUUUUAGAUGGCAAAGCACUGUCCCUCCUCCAUUCCAGCCAUCCUCAGCUAGGGUGAGUAGCCUUUCCAAAGUCCAGCAGGGUUGGGGAGGAGAAUGUGGCUGUCCCUGGGGCCCAGGACCUGGUUCUUGACUACCCCUUUUCAGCAAGCCACUGCUCAGGCCAGGCCUGACAGUCCUCUCAAACUGUGGUCUCAGCUGCUUGGGAGGCAGCUUACAGCUUUAAGCCCAAGGGACACCUGCCCACUAUGGGGUUGGGAGGAUAGCUGUCAUGCAACUGAAGUGGCUUCUCAGGGAGCACUGCAGAGUGAAAGCCUUAGUGGCCACACAAUCAGAGCAAUGAGAAUGGAGCCUUCCUCAGGGUCCAGCAGCCAUCAUUAGGCAGCCUAGCACUGGGGUUCAGCCGGCACGAGGGAGGCAUGUUACAGAUGGUGAACAUAGCCGAGAUCCCCCAGUUACAGGUUCCCAGGGUCUCAGAAUUGGAAAGAACCUUAGAUAUCACCUGUCUCAGCCUCCCAUCUACUACGAGACUCCUCCCCACAGUGAGUGAGUUCUGGAAGAGGGUCUACACAAUUGCACGCCUUUGGAAGAGAAGCAGCUCUGGACUUCAUAGAGGAAUCAAUUCAUUUUUCCAGCCAAUCUACGUCUUCUGAUUUCAUCCCUCUAUUGAGUUGAAGUCGUCUUCUCUGCAAUUUCUUUCCUCAAUUC
Molecule: long non-coding RNA, 1613 nt
Filed under: Marmota monax (woodchuck)
Lineage: Eukaryota; Metazoa; Chordata; Mammalia; Rodentia; Sciuridae
Source: RNAcentral